This 206-nucleotide ribosomal RNA is filed under the name uncultured bacterium. RNAcentral describes it as "partial 16S ribosomal RNA". It matches the Rfam family "Bacterial small subunit ribosomal RNA", at positions 568 to 774 of the family's 1533-position model. The record is from RNAcentral.
CUCGUAGGUGGCCAACUAAGUCAGACGUGAAAUCCCUCGGCUUAACCGGGGAACUGCGUCUGAUACUGGAUGGCUUGAGUUCGGGAGAGGGAUGCGGAAUUCCAGGUGUAGCGGUGAAAUGCGUAGAUAUCUGGAGGAACACCGGUGGCGAAGGCGGCAUCCUGGACCAUUACUGACGCUGAGGCGCGAAAGCUAGGGAGCAAACG